GGUGGCUCAGAGGUAGAGCGCUUGCCUCGCAUGCAUGAGGCUCUGGGUUCGAUUCCUCAGCACCA
This 65-nucleotide transfer RNA is filed under the name Dipodomys ordii (Ord's kangaroo rat). It matches the Rfam family "tRNA". Rfam says of the family: Transfer RNA (tRNA) molecules are approximately 80 nucleotides in length. Their secondary structure includes four short double-helical elements and three loops (D, anti-codon, and T loops). Lineage: Eukaryota; Metazoa; Chordata; Mammalia; Rodentia; Heteromyidae. The record is from Rfam by way of RNAcentral.